Molecule: long non-coding RNA, 498 nt
Organism: Monodelphis domestica (gray short-tailed opossum)
Lineage: Eukaryota; Metazoa; Chordata; Mammalia; Didelphimorphia; Didelphidae
Source: RefSeq, a predicted model, not a curated record
UGACGAGGAGAAGCUGAUCAGGAGAUUUAUACAUGUGUGUCUGCCUUGGGAUGUUAUUCAAGGAAGAUGAGCCUGAGCUUCUUUGGAGAAGACCCAGCCCGAGACAGAAGAGCAGCAGUUGGAGUAGAAUGGAGACAGAGACAUGGACUGCUACUGAUCAAUGGCUACUUGAAGAAUGAAAAGUGGGAAAAAACUACUGAAAUGAGAGACGUUCUACUCUGGACCAAAAUGAAAGAAGUUAAACACCAACUCUCCAAGAAGACUUGAAAUUGCAGAGGAGCAGUAUAUACCUACAAGCAGGUUGAAUGUGAGUAACCCUGAGGUUGGUCCAACAACAAACUCCAUGUGGCAUUUUUCUUCUCAGGUUCUAGUUCACAUAUAAGAAAAAAACUCAAGAAAAAGAAUGAACCCUUCUAAAAGUUGGAUUUCUUGAAAGCAGAAUAGCUUUAGUUUGCUGUAACUUGAAAACCUGUUUAAAUUAAAUUAAAUCUUUUUUCU